RNAcentral lists this unclassified non-coding RNA (963 nucleotides) under Hevea brasiliensis (rubber tree). Lineage: Eukaryota; Viridiplantae; Streptophyta; Magnoliopsida; Malpighiales; Euphorbiaceae. The record is from RNAcentral.
UAGCAUCUUGAUGUCCUCCCUGUCCAUGUUAGCUUCCUUCCCAGUAUACCUCCACGGUUUUGAGCCAGCAGCACAGUAAUGGGCCACCUUCACUUUUUCCACCUCCACGUUCUCAGGAUGGCGCCAUAACAUGGCUAAAACUAGGUUGUAAACCAGAGGAAGUGGCUUGUAAGUCUUCUCGAAGAACAUGUUCAAGAAAUCUUGCUCUGCAAAGGGUGUCGGAGGGGUGAUCUUGAGAGCGUGAAGAAGAUUGUCGUAGGUCAAACGACUAGGCUCGAAGACAAACAUUCCAGCGUUGAAGUACAAGGGAGGAGGAGAGCCCAUGUCUGCUGGCCAUGGGACUCUAUCAGGGCACUGCUGGCAGUACCCAAUUUUGUGUUGAAGGGAAUAGCUCCAUGUUUUCUCACAGAAGCAAUCCAUAGUUGCGUAGAAGUAGCCAUCUGGAGUGUCGAAAAGAUGGUCUAUAUUCUCAAACACUUGGAUAUCCGCAUCCAAAUACAUCAUUUUGCUGUAUUCCUCAAAAUUCCAGAUUCUGAGCUUGGAAUAGUUGAUAACAUAGUAAGCCAUGGCAAAUUGAAUCUGGUUUUCAGGUGGAUAAAUGGGCUCAAUCUCACGCACUAUGCAGCCUUGAGACUUCAGGAUUUGACGAUGCUCCUCAGGGACAUCAGCCAAGAUUGCAACCACAAGAGGGUAUGCACUCUUCACCUUGCGUAAACCUUUAGCCAAACCAACCACUCCUUUGAUAUAGUCCCCAUUGCCAGCUAAAAAAGUCACAAAGGCCCUCCUGGAGUAGCCUGUGUUGAGGGUGGUCGAGACCUUGCCUGAACCUGAAAACACGUCUACAGGCACUUCUGGGGCCAUAGUUAGAUAGGUUAUUGUGAGUUCAAUGGAGGAUUUUUGAGGCAGAAGCUAAGAGGAAUUUUUGGGAAAGUAAAAACUAGCAACACUAAAGGAUGCCAACCC